CCCGCGCUUUGGUUUAGAAUACCGGUUCAAGAAACCCGACCCACUUGAGCUGCCAGCGUGAGAGAGAGAGAGAGAGAGAGAGAGAGAGAGAGAGAGAGCGAUGGGGUUCCUCUUCCGAGUGAGGUUGGCGUCCUUCUUUGCGGGCGCCGCCGCGGCGUCCCUUGCUGGCUUCUGUCUCCUUUACAAGGAUUACAUGCUCGCCCACGACGCCAUCGCCCAACAGGCUAAAGGUGUUUAUGAAGAUUUUGAUGAACGAUUUGAAUCUCUUAACAAGCGUGUCACGGCAUUGGAAAAUCAGAAGAAAUCGGAGACCACAAAACCUGCAGAGAUUUUUGACUAGCUAGACAUGUUUGUUGCUUUUCAAGCAGCCAUUUUGCUUCCUCCAAGAUAACGAUGCUGAAGAAAUCACAACAUUCGAUUCGAGUUGGAUGUAAAAGAAGUCUUAAAAAUUUUAUUCAUGCACUUCGCAAUGUUGUUUUGGUGUUCUUCCAUUUUUGUACAAGGUGCAGCCAUUUCAACUAAUCAUCGAUGGCUGUCUGUCAUAAUUGCUAUCGGACGCAUACCACACGGUAAUGUAUACAUCCAAGAAGAUUGGUUUUUCGCUGU
Musa acuminata AAA Group (dessert banana) is the source of this 606-nucleotide long non-coding RNA. RefSeq lists it as uncharacterized. Lineage: Eukaryota; Viridiplantae; Streptophyta; Magnoliopsida; Zingiberales; Musaceae. The record is from RefSeq and is a predicted model, not a curated record. The transcript is spliced from 2 exons.